RNAcentral lists this ribosomal RNA (376 nucleotides) under uncultured bacterium. RNAcentral's name for it is "bacterial SSU rRNA". It matches the Rfam family "Bacterial small subunit ribosomal RNA", at positions 524 to 898 of the family's 1533-position model. The record is from RNAcentral.
UACGGAGAGUGCGAGCGUUGUUCGGAAUUACUGGGCGUAAAGGGCGUCUAGGCGGCUUGCCAAGUCAGAUGUGAAAUCCCUCGGCUCAACCGAGGACGUGCAUCUGAAACUGGUGAGCUUGAGUAUUGGAGGGGGCAGUGGAAUUCCCGGUGUAGAGGUGAAAUUCGUAGAUAUCGGGAGGAACACCAGUGGCGAAGGCGGCUGCCUGGCCAAAUACUGACGCUGAAGCGCGAAAGCGUGGGGAGCAAACAGGAUUAGAUACCCUGGUAGUCCACGCCGUCAACGAUGGGUGCUAGCUGUACUGGGUGUUGACCCCCGGUGUGGCGAAGCUAACGCGUUAAGCACCCCGCCUGGGGAGUACGGCCGCAAGGUUAAA